GAUGAACGCUGGCGGCGUGCCUAAUACAUGCCAGUCGAGCGAACAGACGAUGAGCUUGCGCCGCUGACGUUAGCGGCGGACGGGUGAGUAACACGUGUAUAACCUACCUAUAAGACUGGGAUAACUUCGGGAAACCGGAGCUAAUACCGGAUAAUAUAUUGAACCGCAUUGGGCAAUAGUGAAAGACGGUGGUGCGGGAACGUAUAGAUGGAUCCGCGCCGGAUGAGAUAGUUGGGAAGUUAACAGGUUACCAAGGGAACGAGGCGUAAACGAACUGAGGGGCGGAUCGGCGACACUGGAACUGAGCCACGGUCCAGGCUACUACGGGAGGGAGCAGUAUGGUACGUUACGCAGUGGGCGAGAGUAUGACGGAGCAACGCGGCGUGAGUGAUGACGGCCUUGGGAUCGUAAAACUCUGCUAUUAGGUAAGAACAAAUGUGUCAGUAAAUAUGCCGGUAGUGACGGUAACUAGUCAGAAAGCAACGGCUAACUACGUG
This 497-nucleotide ribosomal RNA is filed under the name uncultured bacterium. RNAcentral's name for it is "partial 16S ribosomal RNA". It matches the Rfam family "Bacterial small subunit ribosomal RNA", at positions 28 to 507 of the family's 1533-position model. The record is from RNAcentral.